Molecule: long non-coding RNA, 352 nt
Filed under: Homo sapiens (human)
Lineage: Eukaryota; Metazoa; Chordata; Mammalia; Primates; Hominidae
Description: HSALNT0407501
Source: RNAcentral
AGAAGGGCAGGGCUUCACGGAAUCCGAGGAGAUCAAAGAAGACUAGGGCGUGCGAGCAGGGGCCGUCUGGCAAUAAACCGGCCAAUGGGGGACUGCAAAAGCGGCGCCUGGAGCCUAUGGAGACCGUGUGUGGCUGGUUAGAUUUUCAAACAAGAACUUAUAACCCAGCAAGAAUGGGCCUUUGCCUGGAGAAGAAUCCAGACCAUGGGAUGAAUCCCCAAAUGCUAUUUCCAUCUGUAGAGCCUAGAGCACCCACCCCUACCAAGGAAGUCUUCCCAGAUAAUUUGUGUUUCAUAUGUAAAAGCAAGUUUUUUUUUUCAAAUGCUCAAAACCCAAGCAAGUUAAGCCCUUC